GGAGAGAUGGAUCAGUGGUUAAGAGCACCCGACUGCUCUUCUGAAGGUCCUGAGUUCAAAUCCCAGCAACCACA
Molecule: transfer RNA, 74 nt
Filed under: Mus musculus (house mouse)
Lineage: Eukaryota; Metazoa; Chordata; Mammalia; Rodentia; Muridae
Description: tRNA-Ser
Source: RNAcentral